Cherax quadricarinatus is the source of this 312-nucleotide non-coding RNA. NCBI's taxonomy places the organism in Eukaryota, Metazoa, Arthropoda, Malacostraca, Decapoda, Parastacidae. The record is from RefSeq and is a predicted model, not a curated record.
UGGUAGUGGAAGCCUUGCAUAAUUUUGCGACGACCUACACUCAGCUUGCUAACUCCACUCAUUACCGUCCUUGAAUCAAAGAGUCAGGUGACGCUAUGGAUGGACGAGAUGGCUUGUGGAGAGGAUUGGGACACUUGUGAGGUAAAGGAAGAUCUUCUCUUGGACAUCACUACCCAGCUGCUGCUCUCCACCUUCCUCCUGCAGACGGGGGUCUCUCAAACACAACUUGGCGUGCAUUACUGUAAUAUCAUGAGAGAAAUUUUCCGACUGGUUUAUCACAUUAACGCCGGCUAGUCACUCUGAAGACUCAAG